UACAGAGGGUGCGAGCGUUAAUCGGAAUUACUGGGCGUAAAGGGCGCGUAGGCGGAUUGAUAAGUUAGAUGUGAAAACUCAGAGCUUAACUUUGAGCGUGCAUUUAAGACUGUCAGACUAGAGUAGAGUAGAGGGAAGUGGAAUUUCCGGUGUAGCGGUGAAAUGCGUAGAUAUCGGAAAGAACAUCAGUGGCGAAGGCGGCUUCCUGGACUUAUACUGACGCUGAGGCGCGAAAGCAUGGGUAGCAAACAGG
RNAcentral lists this ribosomal RNA (253 nucleotides) under uncultured bacterium. RNAcentral describes it as "partial 16S ribosomal RNA". It matches the Rfam family "Bacterial small subunit ribosomal RNA", at positions 524 to 776 of the family's 1533-position model. The record is from RNAcentral.